AGUUCAGACUGCAGGCUGCAACUCGCCUGCACGAAGUCGGAAUUGCUAGUAAUCGUAGGUCAGCAUACUACGGUGAAUACGUUCCCGGGCCUUGUACACACCGCCCGUCAAACCAUGAGAGUUGGCAACACCCGAAGUCGGUAGUCUAACCGCAAGGAGAGCGCGGCCGAAGGUAAAACUGGUGAUUGGGGUGAAGUCGUAACAAGGUAGC
RNAcentral lists this ribosomal RNA (211 nucleotides) under uncultured bacterium. RNAcentral's name for it is "partial 16S ribosomal RNA". It matches the Rfam family "Bacterial small subunit ribosomal RNA", at positions 1290 to 1500 of the family's 1533-position model. The record is from RNAcentral.